Molecule: long non-coding RNA, 382 nt
Filed under: Nicotiana benthamiana
Lineage: Eukaryota; Viridiplantae; Streptophyta; Magnoliopsida; Solanales; Solanaceae
Description: long non-coding RNA (NBEN_LNC030274)
Source: RNAcentral
UGGAAUUUUAACAAAAAUGAGAGAAAAACUGAAGGUCAGCUAAGCAGCAGCAGUACACAGCAAUUAACAGCAGUUUUGAAGUAAUUUCACCAUGACAUCAGGUAACCCAGUCAGUGAUUUUACUCAAGUAACACCAUUGAACAACACAAAAACAGCUUGAAUAAACUCAAAUAAACCCAUAAAUGACCUCAGAAACUUCUGAAAACCACGAUUACUGAAGCACCCGAGAAUUUAAGCCAUUUUCAACCCUUAGAUAAGCUGAAAAUCUAACUCAAAACUCAUAACUUCAGGAUCUCCCUAAGAAAACUCAAUGGGACAGUAAUUUUUUUAAAAGAAAUCUUAGAUCUCCGGACCUCUAAGAAUUUUUUGUGAUUGUUUUCAG